CACGUAGGGCGCAAGCGUUGUCCGGAAUUAUUGGGCGUAAAGAGCUCGUAGGCGGUCUGUUGCGUCCGCUGUGAAAACUCGGGGCUUAACCCCGAGCCUGCAGUGGAUACGGGCAGACUAGAGGUAUGCAGGGGAGAACGGAAUUCCUGGUGUAGCGGUGAAAUGCGCAGAUAUCAGGAGGAACACCGGUGGCGAAGGCGGUUCUCUGGGCAUUACCUGACGCUGAGGAGCGAAAGUGUGGGGAGCGAACAGG
Molecule: ribosomal RNA, 253 nt
Filed under: uncultured bacterium
Lineage: Bacteria
Description: partial 16S ribosomal RNA
Rfam family: Bacterial small subunit ribosomal RNA
Source: RNAcentral